AACCAUGAACCACUGUCUGUGACUGCCUGUACAACAGUCUGAAAGGGUCUGUAUGAAUAUAGAACAGAGAUAAUCAGUCGUUCGCCGAGCAAAACAAAUUAAAUAGGCCUGGAACUUGGCAACAGAACAGUCAGCUUUCUUCUGGUGAAACCUUUUCUGAAAUCCUGAGCAGCUUCACAGGGAAAUAGCAGCUCCUCACGUGAUCAUGUCCUCCGAUCAAACAGGUAGACUACAGACCAGCUCCUCACGUGAUCAUGUCCUCCGAUCAAACAGGUAGACUACAGACCAGCUCCUCACGUGAUCAUGUCCUCCGAUCAAACAGGUAGACUACAGACCAGCUCCUCACGUGAUCAUGUCCUCCGAUCAAACAGGUAGACUACAGACCAGCUCCUCACGUGAUCAUGUCCUCCGAUCAAACAGGUAGACUACAGACCAGCUCCUCACGUGAUCAUGUCCUCUGAUCAAACAGGUAGACUACAGACCAGCUCUUCACGUGAUCAUGUCCUCCGAUCAAACAGGUAGACUACAGACCAGCUCCUCACGUGAUCAUGUCCUCCGAUCAAACAGGUAGACUACAGACCAGCUCCUCACGUGAUCAUGUCGACCGAUCAAACAGGUAGACUACAGACCAGCUCCUCACGUGAUCAUGUCCUCCGAUCAAACAGGUAGACUACAGACCAGCUCUUCACGUGAUCAUGUCCUCCGAUCAAACAGGUAGACUACAGACCAGCUCUUCACGUGAUCAUGUCCUCCGAUCAAACAGGUAGACUACAGACCAGCUCCUCACGUGAUCAUGUCCUCCGAUCAAACAGGUAGACUACAGACCAGCUCCUCACGUGAUCAUGUCCUCCGAUCAAACAGGUAGACUACAGACCAGCUCCUCACGUGAUCAUGUCCUCCGAUCAAACAGGUAGACUACAGACCAGCUCCUCACGUGAUCAUGUCCUCCGAUCAAACAGGUAGACUACAGACCAGCUCUUCACGUGAUCAUGUCCUCCAAUCAAACAGGUAGACUACAGACCAGCUCCUCACGUGAUCAUGUCCUCCGAUCAAACAGGUAGACUACAGACCAGCUCCUCACGUGAUCAUGUCCUCCGAUCAAACAGGUAGACUACAGACCAGCUCCUCACGUGAUCAUGUCCUCCGAUCAAACAGGUAGACUACAGACCAGCUCCUCACGUGAUCAUGUCCUCCGAUCAAACAGGUAGACUACAGACCAGCUCUUCACGUGAUCAUGUCCUCCAAUCAAACAGGUAGACUACAGACCAGCUCCUCACGUGAUCAUGUCCUCCGAUCAAACAGGUAGACUACAGACCAGCUCUUCACGUGAUCAUGUCCUCCAAUCAAACAGGUAGACUACAGACCAGCUCCUCACGUGAUCAUGUCCUCCGAUCAAACAGGUAGACUACAGACCAGCUCUUCACGUGAUCAUGUCCUCCAAUCAAACAGGUAGACUACAGACCAGCUCCUCACGUGAUCAUGUCCUCCGAUCAAACAGGUAGACUACAGACCAGCUCUUCACGUGAUCAUGUCCUCCAAUCAAACAGGUAGACUACAGACCAGCUCCUCACGUGAUCAUGUCCUCCGAUCAAACAGGUAGACUACAGACCAGCUCCUCACGUGAUCAUGUCCUCCGAUCAAACAGGUAGACUACAGACCAGCUCCUCACGUGAUCAUGUCCUCCAAUCAAACAGGUAGACUACAGACCAGCUCCUCACGUGAUCAUGUCCUCCGAUCAAACAGGUAGACUACAGACCAGCUCCUCACGUGAUCAUGUCCUCUGAUCAAACAGGUAGACUACAGACCAGCUCUUCACGUGAUCAUGUCCUCCGAUCAAACAGGUAGACUACAGACCAGCUCUUCACGUGAUCAUGUCCUCCGAUCAAACAGGUAGACUACAGACCAGCUCCUCACGUGAUCAUGUCCUCCAAUCAAACAGGUAGACUACAGACCAGCUCCUCACGUGAUCAUGUCCUCCGAUCAAACAGGUAGACUACAGACCAGCUCCUCACGUGAUCAUGUCCUCCGAUCAAACAGGUAGACUACAGACCAGCUCCUCACGUGAUCAUGUCCUCCGAUCAAACAGGUAGACUACAGACCAGCUCUUCACGUGAUCAUGUCCUCCGAUCAAACAGGUAGACUACAGACCAGCUCUUCACGUGAUCAUGUCCUCCGAUCAAACAGGUAGACUACAGACCAGCUCUUCACGUGAUCAUGUCCUCCGAUCAAACAGGUAGACUACAGACCAGCUCUUCACGUGAUCAUGUCCUCCGAUCAAACAGGUAGACUACAGACCAGCUCCUCACGUGAUCAUGUCCUCCGAUCAAACAGGUAGACUACAGACCAGCUCCUCACGUGAUCAUGUCCUCCGAUCAAACAGGUAGACUACAGACCAGCUCCUCACGUGAUCAUGUCCUCCGAUCAAACAGGUAGACUACAGACCAGCUCCUCACGUGAUCAUGUCCUCCGAUCAAACAGGUAGACUACAGACC
Oncorhynchus keta (chum salmon) is the source of this 2492-nucleotide long non-coding RNA. RefSeq lists it as uncharacterized. The transcript has 6 exons. Lineage: Eukaryota; Metazoa; Chordata; Actinopteri; Salmoniformes; Salmonidae. The record is from RefSeq and is a predicted model, not a curated record.